Molecule: ribosomal RNA, 513 nt
Filed under: uncultured bacterium
Lineage: Bacteria
Description: partial 16S ribosomal RNA
Rfam family: Bacterial small subunit ribosomal RNA
Source: RNAcentral
AUUGAACGCUGGCGGCAUGCCUAACACAUGCAAGUCGAACGGCAGCACAGUAAAGAUUUCGGUCUUUAUGGGUGGCGAGUGGCGGACGGGUGAGUAAUGCGUAGGAAUCUGUCCUGGAGAGUAGGAUAACCCGAGGAAACUCGGGCUAAUACUGCAUGAUAUCGAGAGAUCAAAGGCAGGGGACCCUUCGGGGCCUUGCGCUCUAGGAUGAGCCUACGUCGGAUUAGCUAGUUGGUGGGGUAAAGGCCUACCAAGGCGACGAUCCGUAGCUGGUCUGAGAGGAUGACCAGCCACACUGGGACUGAGACACGGCCCAGACUCCUACGGGAGGCAGCAGUGGGGAAUCUUGGACAGUGGGGGAAACCCUGAUCCAGCGAUGCCGCGUGUGUGAAGAAGGCCUUCGGGUUGUAAAGCACUUUAGUUGGGGAAGAAAAGUAAUGAGUGAAUAACUGAUUGCUCUGACGGUACCCAAAGAAUAAGCACCGGCUAACUCUGUGCCAGCCGCCGCCGUAA